This 460-nucleotide ribosomal RNA is filed under the name uncultured bacterium. Its description in RNAcentral is "partial 16S ribosomal RNA". It matches the Rfam family "Bacterial small subunit ribosomal RNA", at positions 339 to 795 of the family's 1533-position model. The record is from RNAcentral.
CUACGGGGCGCUCCAGUAAGGAAUAUUGCGCAAUGGAGGCAACUCUGACGCAGCCAUGCCGCGUGCAGGACUGAAGGCCUUAUGGGUCGUAAACUGCUUUUAUUUAGGAAUAAACUCUUGUACGUGUACGAGACUGAAGGUACUAAAUGAAUAAGCACCGGCUAACUCCGUGCCAGCAGCCGCGGUAAUACGGGGGGUGCAAGCGUUAUUCGGAUUUAUUGGAGUUAAAGGGUGCGCAGGCGGACUAUUAAGUCAGAGGUGAAAUCCCGGAGCUCAACUUCGGAACUGCCUUUGAUACUGGUAGUCUUGAAUACGGUUGAAGUAGGCGGAAUGUAGCAUGUAGCGGUGAGAUGCAUAGACAUGCUACAGAACACCGAUCGCGAAGGCAGCUUACUAAGCCGAUAUUGACGCUCAGGCACGAAAGCGUGGGGAGCGAACAGGAUUAGAUACCCUCGUAGUC